UCGAGAAUAUUCGACAAUGGACGAAAGUCUGAUCGAGCGACGCCGCGUGCAGGAUGAAGGCCCUCGGGUUGUAAACUGCGGUAGUAGGGGAGGAAUUUCGAUGACUGUACCCUACGGAAAGUGGUUGGUAACUACGUGCCAGCACCAGCGGUAAUACGUAGACCACAAGCGUUAUCCGGAUUUAUUGGGCGUAAAGCGCAUGUAGGAGGCCCGGUGCGUCUCUGGUUAAAGCCCACUGCCUAACGGUGGAACUGCCGGAGAUACGAUCGGGCUGGAGGAGGUGAGAGGUGCAUGGAACUCACGGUGUAGGGGUGAAAUCCGUUGAUAUCGUGGGGAACACCAAAGGCGAAGGCAGUGCACUGGUACCUUCCUGACUCUGAGAUGCGAAAGCGUGGGGAGCAAAAAGG
This 407-nucleotide ribosomal RNA is filed under the name uncultured bacterium. Its description in RNAcentral is "bacterial SSU rRNA". It matches the Rfam family "Bacterial small subunit ribosomal RNA", at positions 355 to 776 of the family's 1533-position model. The record is from RNAcentral.